GACGAACGCUGGCGGCGUGCCUAACACAUGCAAGUCGAACGAGGCCCAUGCAGUGGCAACACUGCGGAAGACCUAGUGGCGAACGGGUGAGUAACACGUGAGGAACCUGCCCCGAAGACCGGGAUAACCCUCCGAAAGGAGAGCUAAUACCGGAUAUCCCCAUCGGAUCGCAUGAUCUGAUGAGGAAAUGGAUUCCGCUUCGGGAGGCCUCGCGGCCUAUCAGCUUGUUGGCGGGGUAACGGCCCACCAAGGCAUCGACGGGUAGCUGGUCUGAGAGGACGAUCAGCCACACUGGGACUGAGACACGGCCCAGACUCCUACGGGAGGCAGCAGUGGGGAAUCUUGCGCAAUGGGCGAAAGCCUGACGCAGCAACGCCGCGUGGGGGAUGAAGGCUCUCGGGUUGUAAACCCCUUUCAGCAGGGACGAAUCAAGACGGUACCUGCAGAAGAAGCCCCGGCUAACUACGUGCCAGCAGCCGCGGUAAAGUCGAUA
Molecule: ribosomal RNA, 493 nt
Filed under: uncultured bacterium
Lineage: Bacteria
Description: bacterial SSU rRNA
Rfam family: Bacterial small subunit ribosomal RNA
Source: RNAcentral